This is a non-coding RNA of Canis lupus familiaris (dog), 106 nucleotides long. The record is from Rfam. NCBI's taxonomy places the organism in Eukaryota, Metazoa, Chordata, Mammalia, Carnivora, Canidae.
AUGCUUGUUUUGGCAGCACAUAUACUAAAAUUGGAAGUAUACAGAGAAGAUUAGCAUGGUCCCUCUGCAAGGAUGACACACAAAUCAUGAAAUGUUCCAUUAAAAA